Molecule: ribosomal RNA, 1325 nt
Filed under: uncultured bacterium
Lineage: Bacteria
Description: bacterial SSU rRNA
Rfam family: Bacterial small subunit ribosomal RNA
Source: RNAcentral
AGUUUAGUGGCGGACGGGUGAGUAACGCGUGGGCAACCUACCCAUAAGAGGGGGAUAACAGCUGGAAACGGCUGCUAAUGCCGCAUAAGCUUUUUAGGACGUAUGUUUUAGAAAGUAAAGGAGGCGCAAGCUUCCGCUUAUGGAUGGGCCCGCGUCUGAUUAGCUAGCUGGUAGGGUAGAGGCCUACCAAGGCAACGAUCAGUAGCCGGCCUGAGAGGGUGGACGGCCACACUGGGACUGAGAACGGCCCAGACUCCUACGGGAGGCAGCAGUGGGGAAUAUUGCGCAAUGGGGGAAACCCUGACGCAGCGACGCCGCGUGAGCGAAGAAGGCCUUCGGGUUGUAAAGCUCUGUUGUAAGGGACGAAUGUCUAGGGUAGUAACUGACCUUAGAAUGACGGUACCUUACCAGCAAGCCCCGGCUAACUACGUGCCAGCAGCCGCGGUAAGACGUAGGGGGCGAGCGUUGUCCGGAAUUACUGGGCGUAAAGAGCACGUAGGCGGAUGUAUAAGUCAGGUGUGAAAGACCGCAGCCUAACUGCGGGAUUGCACUUGAAACUGUAUAUCUUGAGGGCAGGAGAGGUCAGUAGAAUUCCUGGUGUAGCGGUGAAAUGCGUAGAAAUCAGGAGGAAUACCAGUGGCGAAGGCGACUGACUGGACUGACCCUGACGCUGAGGUGCGAAAGCGUGGGUAGCAAACAGGAUUAGAUACCCUGGUAGUCCACGCCGUAAACGAUGGAUACUAGGUGUGGGAGGUAUCGACCCCUUCCGUGCCGCAGCUAACGCAAUAAGUAUCCCGCCUGGGGAGUACGGUCGCAAGGCUGAAACUCAAAGGAAUUGACGGGGGCCCGCACAAGCGGUGGAGCAUGUGGUUUAAUUCGAUGCAACGCGAAGAACCUUACCAGGUCUUGACAUCUGUAGAACCCUGAUGAAAGUUAGGGGUGCCUUCGGGAGCUACAAGACAGGUGGUGCAUGGUUGUCGUCAGCUCGUGUCGUGAGAUGUUGGGUUAAGUCCCGCAACGAGCGCAACCCUUGCUAUUAGUUGCUAACAGGUAGAGCUGAGCACUCUAAUGGGACUGCCAGGGAUAACCUGGAGGAAGGCGGGGAUGACGUCAAAUCAUCAUGCCCCUUAUGACUUGGGCUACACACGUGCUACAAUGGCGUAAACAAAGAGAAGCAAAACCGCGAGGUCAAGCCAAUCUCAAAAAUAACGUCUCAGUUCGGAUUGUAGUCUGCAACUCGACUACAUGAAGCUGGAAUCGCUAGUAAUCGCGAAUCAGAAUGUCGCGGUGAAUACGUUCCCGGGUCUUGCACACACCGCCCGUCA